UCUAGAAGCUUCGGCAAUGGGGGAAACCCUGACCGAGCGACGCCGCGUGCAGGAUGAAGGCCUUCGGGUUGUAAACUGCUUUCGACAGGGAAGAAGGGCGUUUGGGAUAAUACCCCGAUCGUUUGACGGUACCUGGAGAAGAAGCCUCAGCUAAUUCCGUGCCAGCAGCCGCGGUAAUACGGGGGAGGCAAGCGUUAAUCGGAUUUAUUGGGCGUAAAGGGCGCGUAGGCGGUUUCUUAAGUCAGGUGUUAAAGACCACGGCUCACCCGUGGGGCUGCGCCUGAUACUGAGGGGCUGGAGUGCAGCAGAGGCAAGCGGAAUUCCCGGUGUAGCGGUGAAAUGCAUAGAUAUCGGGAGGAACACCAGUGGCGAAGGCGGCUUGCUGGGCUGUAACUGACGCUGAGGCGCGAAAGCCAGGGGAGCGAACGG
This 429-nucleotide ribosomal RNA is filed under the name uncultured bacterium. Its description in RNAcentral is "bacterial SSU rRNA". It matches the Rfam family "Bacterial small subunit ribosomal RNA", at positions 355 to 775 of the family's 1533-position model. The record is from RNAcentral.